CCUACGGGGGGCAGCAGUGGGGGAUAUUGCACAAUGGGGGAAACCCUGAUGCAGCGACGCCGCGUGGGUGAAGGAGUAUCUCGGUAUGUAAAGCUCUAUCGGCAGGGAAGAAGCAAGACGGUACCUGACUAAGAAGCCCCGGCUAACUAGGUGCCAGCAGCCGCGGUAAUACGUAGGGGCCGAGCGUUAUCCGGAUUCACUGGGUGUAACGGGAGCGUAGACGGCCAUGCAAGUCAGGGGUGAAAGCUCGGGGCCCAACCCCGGGAUUGCCGUUGAAACUGCAUGGCUGGAGUGCGGGAGGGGUAGGCGGAAUUCCUGGUGUAGCGGUGAAAUGCGUAGAUAUCAGGAGGAACACCGGCGGCGAAGGCGGCCUGCUGGACCGCGACUGACGUUGAGGCUCGAAAGCGUGGGGAGCGAACAGGAUUAGAUACCCUUGUAGUC
This 441-nucleotide ribosomal RNA is filed under the name uncultured bacterium. RNAcentral describes it as "partial 16S ribosomal RNA". It matches the Rfam family "Bacterial small subunit ribosomal RNA", at positions 338 to 795 of the family's 1533-position model. The record is from RNAcentral.